AGUAACGCGUGAGGAACCUGCCUUUCAGAGGGGGACAACAGUUGGAAACGACUGCUAAUACCGCAUAACACAUAGGUGUCGCAUGGCAUUUAUGUCAAAGAUUUAUCGCUGAAAGAUGGCCUCGCGUCUGAUUAGCUAGUUGGUGAGGUAACGGCUCACCAAGGCGACGACCAGUAGCCGGACUGAGAGGUUGGCCGGCCACAUUGGGACUGAGAUACGGCCCAGACUCCUACGGGAGGCAGCAG
This 245-nucleotide ribosomal RNA is filed under the name uncultured bacterium. Its description in RNAcentral is "partial 16S ribosomal RNA". It matches the Rfam family "Bacterial small subunit ribosomal RNA", at positions 109 to 354 of the family's 1533-position model. The record is from RNAcentral.